CAAAUUAUUUCUGCAAACACUUUGACAUCCCUGCCAUUUCAUCUCUCUCUCUCAGUCAUUCCACCCACGAAUUACUAUCCGGCCGUUAUGUCUCGCUCACUCCACCACUUUUACAGAAUAUCGCGAUAAAGCGGUUGUUCAAACUUAUGGACGUAGGCGAUGGACUUCUUGGUGCUCGGCAGUGGGGAACUUACUAUUACGAUCGAAGUCAGAGGCUAGCUUGGCAGUCGGACUAGAUUGGAACACGGCCAUAGCCCAAAGGUAUACUUGCCCCAUCCUUUUCUAGACACAGCAUUUAGUGUUGUCCAAACCGGUACAGGCUUUGGUUGAGCAAUCUGUUAGCUCAUCAUCAUCGUUUUAGUUGCUUGUCAUUUGUCCACUGACCAGGUCCAACAGCUUUCCGGAGCCAUAACGAAAAGCCAAAUACCCGUACAAAUGCUGGCCAACGCACACUCGCAUAACCAGGACGAAGAGCCAGGACACAGGAAGCCCCUGAACGACACCAACAUGAACCCAACAGACAUCAACUGUGCCAGCUGCCCGUGCAGGGAAUCGGAGCCAAGGGAAAUACAAUUUGAAACCUUUGUUGCGGUCUUCCCUCAGUUGCGUAUCCAGCUCUCAGUAUUAUAUGGUUUUGCUCCUGCCCUCCACAGCUGGCACAGGCGAAUGGUUGAAUCUCUUACAUAGUUCCCUCCUACCGUGGGAAACUCCUCUACUGGAUCCUGUUUGGAGCGUGCUGCUUUAUUAUAAACGUCCCACAGGCGUUCAGGCGGAACAAUUCGACAUUAAUGGGAGAAAUAAUGCUGGAAAUCAGGACGGAUAUUCCUGAAAGCCUUGACAUGGAUUGCAGCACCUUGCAGUCACUGAUGGUUGGAACGAGGCUGCGGGAGUGGGUGCAGUCCCCAGCUCGUUGCCAGUUGAAGCAAUUGCAAUUAGGUGUAAUUACAGAGAGCUUCAAUCCGCUCCCACCCCCCUGGUGGGCAGAGAAAGUUAUCGCAACUUUUGACCGGAGCCAAAGGCGACGAGAGGAUUUUAAUUAAUUUCAUUACAGGCGAUGCCAAAAGUUUCCAAUAAUCUGCACGCUUUUCCAAAGGCUUGCCAAGUACGUUCUCUAUUCAAAGAAACGUGCCCCGAACCCCAUGAAUCAUUUAGUAACCUGAACUAGGAAUUUGCUUUUGAACUGGUCAUUCGUCACAGAUGAUGUGGACUUCCUUCAUGGAGGAGUGGGGGGAGAGAACUUCGACAUCCAAAUUUUGUAAAUGAACUAAAUGAAACUAAUCUGACCUAAUGGCCGUGCCUUGUGUUGUGAGCCAAUCAUCUCCUCCUCGGAAACCAGAAAAAGAGCUAUGUUUCAAUUCAUUUUGCUGGAUCUAACAAGCAUUUAUUAAUCUAUAAAAAGGAUAAUUGUACAAAAGAACUUAAAGAACAAUUUGUGGUGGCUAAUUAAUUACUCGUACCAUUACGAUUUUUGUCUCUUGGGCUACACUGUAUGUGUGCCACAGUUUGGGUUUCAUGGUUUUGUAAUUUCGUUAU
Molecule: long non-coding RNA, 1533 nt
Organism: Drosophila pseudoobscura
Lineage: Eukaryota; Metazoa; Arthropoda; Insecta; Diptera; Drosophilidae
Exons: 2
Source: RefSeq, a predicted model, not a curated record